Molecule: long non-coding RNA, 1197 nt
Filed under: Strigops habroptila (Kakapo)
Lineage: Eukaryota; Metazoa; Chordata; Aves; Psittaciformes; Psittacidae
Description: lncRNA (ENSSHBG00005002088.1)
Source: RNAcentral
GAUUCAUUUGUUUUAUUUAAUUAGCUGGGCUCUUGUACUCAUUCCCCUGAAACAUGGCAAUGUAGUGUUUAUGGAAGUACAUGUGACCUUGGAGAUAUACUUCUAGCCAUUCCCCUGUCCUAUGAGAAUACAAAAUCCAUAUGGUGCUCUCCAAAAGUAAAGUGUUUAUUCUGCCUUGAUGCCAAAUUAGUUGUCAUUACAUUUGAAUAAAAGGUGAACAGUUUGAGGCAAAAAUCUAAUUAUCGUCUAUUGCUGCUUAUAUUCUUUGUGCAAAUUGAACAUUUACAUUUUUUACCAACAAUGCAGAAGAUCAAAGUACAUCUUUGUCAGUUUUGCUUAUUAUUGCUAUCUAUGCUGGUGUCAUAAACUCUGGUACUGACAGACUGACUGACAGAAUAGCUGGAGAGCUAAUUACUUGAAAUAGUUUUCAUGAAAGCUAUUAAUAAAGGGUUGUCACAAUUACCACAUGUGAAAACAUGGAGAGAGUGCUGUUUUGGAGCACUUUGUUUCUACUGAAAACUUUGUUUCUAUUGAAGAAUGAACACAACUUGACUGAAAUUAUUUACAAAGUUGUAAUGAAUUUUUCAUUAACGAUAAUUCAUUAAGAAAGUGGAUAGCUUACAUUUAAUGAAUGAAAACUUUAAACUUUCCAGCUCAAUAUAUUUCAUUUCAAAAUGCACUUUUAAAAAAUUACCAACGUUAAUCACAAAAAUCUACUUCUAAGCUAAAUAAAGUGUUUGAUUUCUAAGUAGUCAAGUUUCAUUUGAUAUGAACUGGUUGCUUGAAGAAGCACAACUGUUUAAGAUUGAUGCAAAAAAAUUUUUAUCCCCUUUGUAAGCCUACUAAUCAAAUCAAUCAAUACUAUCUUACAAUAGGAUAGUAUUUCAAAGGCUAAGGAUGUUUUUGGAAGAAAUGUUGAUGUUUAAGAAUACAUUUGAUUAAUAGUAAUAAAAUCAAUAUAAAAUUCGAUAGGAAUAGAAGGCUGUAGGAGGCUGUUAAGUAGGUGUUUAAGUUCAGUACUUUAGAACAGCAGUUAGACAUCAAGCAGUUACACAGUUCAUGAUGGUCCACAAAACACCCGCCCCAUACAAAACAGGCCACAAAGCAUUUUCCUGAAUCUUGUAUCAAUUUCAACCCUGAAAGAACUGAGGAUACAAAUCUAAAAAAAACAAACAAACAAACAAACAAAAAAAAAAA